Molecule: RNA transcript, 2540 nt
Organism: Mangifera indica (mango)
Lineage: Eukaryota; Viridiplantae; Streptophyta; Magnoliopsida; Sapindales; Anacardiaceae
Gene name: K(+) efflux antiporter 4-like
Exons: 20
Source: RefSeq, a predicted model, not a curated record
AGUUGAGUAGUGGAGUUAAAUAGUGUUGCCAACUGUAAAGGGCACUUUUCCGCUGUCCCUCACGCGCAUUUUCUUGCGCGUAGCUUCUGUAAUGUCCCUCCUGACCUGGCUGGACAUCAAACUCCCAUCUCAACCAGCUGCACCAUUUGGAUUUGAUAAAUUUCUAAGCCAACCUGACCUAACCAACAACCAAAAGCAAAGAACACUUUCCUUUUACUUUUUCCAUAACAAUUCCAAACGACACGUCGUUUCGGUAAAUUCGUUGCAAUGAGGUUGUCUCUCGCACUCUUCAUCAUUGUUUCUCUUCUUCUCUGCUUCGCGUCCACCGAGUCUGUAACUGAGUCCAACUCCGAGGUCAAUGCCACCGCUGCUGAGUAUAAUAAUGUGUCCCGCGAGACAUCCAAAGAGGACAGCUUCGCUGACAUGAUUGAUCGUGCUCUCGAAAAGGAAUUCAAUGAGAGUGACCAAAAUGAAGCUACUGAUCCUGGUAGCUUCAAUAAUAGUGUUGCUGGACAACAGGCUGUUUUGGAAACUGUUGCCAGAGUUACAAAGAAAAAUGAAACCAAGGAGAAGUCAUUUCAAUUUCAUCAUGUUUUUAAAUUGGAUAAUGAAAAUGGACAAGAAGAUACUCCAACAUUGAUUGAUCGGAAGGACAAUGUUUUUAUCAUAUCAAAUCCAAAGUCGAAAUAUCCUGUGCUGCAACUAGACUUGAGAUUGAUAUCAGAUCUGGUGGUUGUUAUUGUCUCUGCAACUUGUGGUGGUAUUGCCUUUGCAUGUGCUGGACAACCGGUCAUUACUGGAUAUCUGCUAGCAGGAUCUGUUAUUGGGCCGGGGGGCUUCAGCUUUGUCAGUGAAAUGGUGCAAGUUGAAACAGUGGCCCAAUUUGGUGUCAUUUUUCUUCUUUUUGCAUUGGGCCUUGAAUUCUCUGCAUCAAAGCUUCGAGUUGUUCGUGCAGUUGCUGUUUUAGGAGGUCUUCUCCAGAUUUUUCUAUUUAUGUGCUUGUGUGGAAUAAUAGCUUCGUUGUGUGGUGGUAAGCCUUCAGAAGGGGUAUUUGUUGGUGCCUUGUUGUCUAUGUCUUCAACUGCAGUGGUUUUAAAGUUUUUGAUGGAAAGGAAUAGUAUAAGUGCCCUACAUGGUCAAGUCACAAUUGGUACCCUUAUUUUGCAGGACUGUGCUGUGAGUUCGCUUUUUGCUCUGCUACCAAUUCUUGGUGGAACUUCUGGUGUUCUUCAAGGAGUAAUAUCCAUCACUAAAUCAUUGGUGAUGUUGAUCUCAUUUCUGGCCAUUUUGAUGAUAUUAUCUCGUACGUGUGUACCAUGGUUUCUGAAGCUAAUGAUAAGCUUAUCUUCGCGAACUAAUGAACUUUAUCAGCUGGCAUCUGUGGCAUUCUGCUUACUUGUUGCUUGGUGCAGUGAUAAGCUGGGUUUAAGCCUUGAAUUGGGUUCCUUUGCUGCUGGAGUGAUGAUAUCAACAACUGAUCUUGGUCAACACACCCUUGAACAAGUUGAGCCGAUUCGCAACUUCUUUGCUGCACUUUUUCUUGCCAGUAUUGGGAUGCUGAUUCAUGUACAUUUCUUGUGGAAUCAUGUUGAUAUCUUACUAGCAGCUGUACUAUUGGUGAUUGUUGUAAAAACUGCUGUGGUUGCCACUGUUGUCAAGGGCUUUAAUUACAGCAACAAAACGUCACUCCUCGUUGGAAUGUCUCUGGCACAAAUUGGAGAAUUUGCUUUUGUUUUGCUUAGUCGUGCUUCUAAUCUUCAUCUAGUUGAGGUUUGUUCAAUCAAUAUUUUGCAACCAUCUAAGCUAAUAUCAGGGGAAAUUGUAUCUACUGCUCCUUGGCACAACAGCACUCAGUCUGGUGACAACUCCAUUGCUUUUUAAGCUGAUCCCUGCUGUUGUAAAUCUCGGGGUACAGUUGCGGUGGUUCUCCCCUGAUCUGUCAAGUGAGAUUGGAUUUAAAGGUGAUAGUCUUCGUGCAGACGGUGCUAAGCGUAUUCCUUUGAUGGUCCAAGGCUCUCAUAAUUCAUGAUAUCAAAUAAAACCAUGAACCAGAAAUAUGCGAAUUUCAGGCUUAUCCUGAUGGACUUCUUAUGCUCUGGGGGACAGGUGUUUAAGAGUGCAAAGGAGGUUGAUUGAGUGAACCAUUUUAGUCUGUGACAGAUUUUCGUAUGUUGCCUGAUUUCACUUGACGUAUCUCCGACCAUAUCAAGCACUGGAGUAUGAUGCCGACUACUAUCGAGAUGUUGGGAUUGCCAUAGUUCUGAUCCACAUCCUACUACCCAACACUUCAAAUAUUGACUUAGGUCAUCUUGUUGCUGUUCCGGAUGGCCAAUUUUUGUAGAUAUAUUGUCCAUUUUGUAAUGUAAUUCAAUUUUUUUUUUUUUUUGCCUUUUAAAUCAAAAGUCAAAGUAGUGCAAGGCCUUCAAAUGUAUCAAUCCUGUUUUGUUCUUGUAAUGAUACAACAGUUUGUAAACUGGAUUUUGUUUGAUUCUUAAAAUGCAUUGAUGGCAUAUAUAAAUGAUUCUUCAGGGUCUUUGUUA